Molecule: ribosomal RNA, 253 nt
Filed under: uncultured bacterium
Lineage: Bacteria
Description: partial 16S ribosomal RNA
Rfam family: Bacterial small subunit ribosomal RNA
Source: RNAcentral
UACGUAGGGUGCAAGCGUUGUCCGGAUUUAUUGGGCGUAAAGAGCUCGUAGGCGGUCUGUCGCGUCGGAUGUGAAAACCCAGGGCUCAACCCUGGGCCUGCAUUCGAUACGGGCAGACUAGAGUACGGCAGGGGAGACUGGAAUUCCUGGUGUAGCGGUGAAAUGCGCAGAUAUCAGGAGGAACACCGGUGGCGAAGGCGGGUCUCUGGGCCGUAACUGACGCUGAGAAGCGAAAGCAUGGGGAGCGAACAGG